Molecule: unclassified non-coding RNA, 752 nt
Filed under: Nilaparvata lugens (brown planthopper)
Lineage: Eukaryota; Metazoa; Arthropoda; Insecta; Hemiptera; Delphacidae
Description: myosin-2 essential light chain-like, transcript variant X4
Source: RNAcentral
AGUGGAAAUCGUAGACCAUUUUAUUAUUAGUGCAUAUUGAGAAGAGAUUCUUAAUUGGAGUUAAUACAGAAUAAUCUGGAUUCUAGCUGAGUUCAUCAGCUGCUUGAUCAACAGCGGUUAGCGGUAAUGUCAUCGGGGGUCAAAUCAGCUGCAUUUCCUCAACAAUGUGACAUGUCUCUCUAAAUUUGCUAGUUACACACCUUAUCAGACGACCUCAUUCUAGAUAAUAAUAUUACAAACGUUUUCGAGACUAUCUUGAUUCAGAUUGCAGUGUGCAUUUUGUCAGCCAGCCUUGUGGCUGUAGUGAGUGCCGAUCUAUCAUCUUUUCGAGUUCCUCGGGCUGGAAAUACAGAAGAUUCAGGCCCAGUCAACUAUGAAUUCGCCUAUGAAGUGAAAGACGCUCCAUCUAAUAAUGACUUUGGUCACAUGGAGAGUAGGAAUGGAGAAGUAGCCAAGGGUUCCUACCACGUUCUUCUUCCUGAUGGCAGAACUCAAAGAGUUGACUAUACUGCUGAUGAAAAUGGAUAUGUGCCUAAGAUAAACUAUGAUGGUUCACCUUCAGGAGCUAGCUACAGAUUCUAAUCGAUCGAUACUUCCAUCAGACUGGAGCUCUCUUCUGGGUCAGACUUCUUCGAAUGAGAAAAGUCUACUUCAUCUAUCGGUAAACCGUUACAACUCAAACUUACUAACAAAGCUCCUAAUAUUGUGCUCAUUAUGAUUAAAUUACUUGAAUAAACCAUUGUGAAAAAAAA